RNAcentral lists this ribosomal RNA (253 nucleotides) under uncultured bacterium. RNAcentral describes it as "partial 16S ribosomal RNA". It matches the Rfam family "Bacterial small subunit ribosomal RNA", at positions 524 to 776 of the family's 1533-position model. The record is from RNAcentral.
UACAGAGGGUGCAAGCGUUAAUCGGAUUUACUGGGCGUAAAGCGUGUGUAGGUGGUUAGGAAAGUCGAUUGUGAAAUCCCUGGGCUCAACCCGGGAACUGCUUUCGAAACUAUCUGACUAGAAUUCGGUAGAGGGAGGCGGAACUCCAGGUGUAGCGGUGAAAUGCGUAGAUAUCUGGAAGAACACCAAUGGCGAAGGCAACCUCCUGGGCCUGAAUUGACACUGAGACACGAAAGCGUGGGGAGCAAACAGG